CUAUAAUCUCCUCAGAUCCCUCAGCAGUGACAUCAGACACCUCAGGUCUCUGAGGUCUCUGAACGUUGAAGGGAAUCAGUUAGUGGCUCUUCCCGCCGGUCUGCUCCGUGUGUCUGUGUCGGAGCUCAGGAUGUCUGGGAAUUACACACAUGUGUUACUGUGGAGCGAGAACAGCUGCAACUCUCCUCAGACGCUGCUGCACACGGCUGCACACACACUCGCACACACACACACACAGCAGCGCUACACACACCUGCUGCCCGCCACACGGGUCAUCCUGAACAGUGCUGGUGUGUGUGACGCUUGCAGGGGUCCCAUGUUCGGCGCGGGUCUCAAGCUCAUUCGUCCCGCUCACGGCGUGUUUGGGCUUCCGUCCGUCCCGGUCAUGUUCUGCUGCUGUUCUCCUGCGUGUCUCCACAGAUUCAGGAAACAAACCAACAACAACCAGACGCAGUCUGAUCAGACAAGAGCCACUUUAUUCUCCUGCAGAACUGCAGCGUUUACACUUCUUUAAAACACCUUCAGAGGAAAAUGGACAAAUCAUGUAAAAUACUUCUUCAUUCUGACUGUUUUGAACUUCCUCUCAAGCCCAAAUACUGUCCUGCUCACAUGAAAUGCGUUAUACUGCUGUAUACGAUUCAUAAACAUUUCCUAUUAGAUUUUUCAUUCUUUUGAUAGUCAAAUAAAAGUCAAUUUAUUCAGUGCUUUGUACAAUACAAUAAUCUUCCACA
RNAcentral lists this long non-coding RNA (731 nucleotides) under Sinocyclocheilus anshuiensis. RNAcentral describes it as "lncRNA (ENSSANG00000031853.1)". The record is from RNAcentral. Lineage: Eukaryota; Metazoa; Chordata; Actinopteri; Cypriniformes; Cyprinidae.